Apis laboriosa (Himalayan honeybee) is the source of this 695-nucleotide long non-coding RNA. RefSeq lists it as uncharacterized. The transcript is spliced from 2 exons. NCBI's taxonomy places the organism in Eukaryota, Metazoa, Arthropoda, Insecta, Hymenoptera, Apidae. The record is from RefSeq and is a predicted model, not a curated record.
CAACAACAAAGAUAAAAAUUGUGUUCAACGUCAAAUAACUGUCAUUUGUUCAUCGAAAAAAAUCGAGUUCGCGCAAUAACCAACAUCGUAGCCAUGUGUAUACGAACGUGACCGUUCUGUACAACGAUCACCGCCAUGACACACAAUUCCUCGUUCCCGCCGUGGAAGACUUCGAAACGAACAUUUCACGAUCUCACCGACACACGCGCGACAUCCAGCGGGAUCUUUUUGGCAGCCGGCAACAGGUCGCGGUAGUCGCUAUCCCGUAACACGCGUCGUUGUGUUAUUGUUUAUUGUUCGAUCACAACACGGUUGCGGCGUCGGUAGUGUCGAUCGUAUCGUUGCUCUAUUUUGGUCUUCUCAGGUAGGAGAGGAGGGACAGCGCAGUCUGGCUCGGACGAAUGCUUGGAGACACUAUUAACGACGCUUAAGAACGUCCACUCUGCAGACUGAAAAAGACAGAGAAGAAGAGACAGAGAGAAAGAGAAACGACGGUCAGACACAGAGAAAGAAUGAGCGUAAAGGAAAGAAGAAAUGAGACUGGAGCCAACGGUUACCAUUAUAAAUAGUUGCGACCAAUAGCGACAGAAGUAAUACUCUCCCGUCCACCAGGUGGAACAGUUGUAGAUUAUUAAGAUUGUGAUUUUGUUAAUAUAUAAUGAUGAUUUUAAAAUUAUAAUAAAUAUAAAAAUAUA